UGGGGUGUAGCUCAAUCGGCAGAGCGCCCGGCUGUUAACCGGGAGGUUGGUGGUUCGACUCCACCCGCCCCAG
RNAcentral lists this transfer RNA (73 nucleotides) under Gemmatimonadota bacterium. RNAcentral's name for it is "Gemmatimonadetes bacterium (groundwater metagenome) tRNA-Asn". It matches the Rfam family "tRNA". From Rfam's summary of the family: Transfer RNA (tRNA) molecules are approximately 80 nucleotides in length. RNAcentral also lists the same sequence under 2 other names. Lineage: Bacteria; Pseudomonadati; Gemmatimonadota. The record is from RNAcentral.